Molecule: long non-coding RNA, 726 nt
Organism: Alligator sinensis (Chinese alligator)
Lineage: Eukaryota; Metazoa; Chordata; Crocodylia; Alligatoridae
Exons: 3
Source: RefSeq, a predicted model, not a curated record
CAUGUGCCUCCGCGAGGCCCUGGGCUUGUGGGGCUGCGUUGGAGGCCCCGGGCGGGAGCGCUGGCGCCGCUGCGGUCUCUGGCGCUGGAGUUUAGGGGUGAGCCGGACUUCUGCACGUCACGUCCCUGAUACGUAGUAGAUGAUGGUUGCAGGGGCUUGGACUAGGUGACCGUUGGAGGCCCCACCCAGCCCUGCUUCUCUGCAAUGUUGCUGGGUAUCCGGUGAUUGUUGUAUUUGUUUGGUCAUGUCAACCCUGGGUUUGCUGCCAGCGCCUCCUUAUGACUGCUUGUCUCAAAAUAAAGAAAUGCUUCAACUUUGAUGACCCAGUUCUCACUCGCUCGCUGCCACCUUACUAUGAGCAAUAUCAAGUACUCGCCAUUCACACUGUGUCCAUGCAUCAGGAUUCCCGAGCUGCUUCUAGGACGUGCUUCAAAAACAACUUCAAAUUUCAGACCUAAACUGAAGGAUUCAUCUGUGGGAAGAAAAAUAUGUUAUUCAUCUGUGGGAAAUGUUAUUUCCAUCCUCACAUUAAUGAUGGACAAAUCACUGGGCUAGAGAAUCUUGGCAAAGGCAGAGCAUCUGUUUGGAAUUAAGGCACAUUCAAAGGGAUCAAGUCUCAUCCUCUGUUGUUUUUCAAAUGACCUCUUUUGGAACCACAACCAUCUGGCAAAUUUAAGAUCGUGAUAUACUGUGGACUUUGGCCAAAUGGAAGCUGGUAUCAGAGUA